AAAAGCAGGGACGUCCAGAAAGCAACCAAUUAAUCAAACCUACGUACGCAGUUCACCCUCACCUGUAGAAUGUUGUCCAUUUUGGACUGAACAGUAGGUACAUGUACAUACAUAUAAUUUCUCCAAAAAUAGAGACAACCCCUGUAAUUUCAUAUGUUCUUGGGGUACCAAGGUGGCUGCCAAGUUGGUUGCCAAGUAAAAGAGUACAGUACAUGACGUGUGGCAUGGGUGGAUGUUCAAAAACACAUGUAUCAUACAGCCCUGACAGAAGAGCGUUUUUGAUGUAUCUGUUGAUGUAUUUAUUCCUUGUUAAUUUUAA
RNAcentral lists this small RNA (319 nucleotides) under Histoplasma capsulatum var. duboisii H88. RNAcentral's name for it is "Histoplasma capsulatum H88 hypothetical RNA". The record is from RNAcentral. Lineage: Eukaryota; Fungi; Ascomycota; Eurotiomycetes; Onygenales; Ajellomycetaceae.